UCUCCGUUGGUGAACCAGCGGAGGGAUCAUUACAGGACUCGCAAGACUCCUACAACCCUGCGAACUUAACUAUAAGCACGUUGCUUCGGCGGGUGUCUCGGAGGGGGUUCUCCCUCCCCGAGACGCUAAACCCGCCGGCAGCCUACUAUACUCUGUCUCUUUGCGUUGGCAUCUCGAGUACAAUCAAACAAGUUAAAACUUUCAACAACGGAUCUCUUGGUUCUG
This 225-nucleotide unclassified non-coding RNA is filed under the name plant metagenome. Its description in RNAcentral is "partial contains small subunit ribosomal RNA, internal transcribed spacer 1, and 5.8S ribosomal RNA". The record is from RNAcentral.